Molecule: long non-coding RNA, 3567 nt
Organism: Felis catus (domestic cat)
Lineage: Eukaryota; Metazoa; Chordata; Mammalia; Carnivora; Felidae
Exons: 4
Source: RefSeq, a predicted model, not a curated record
CUCUAGCGAGAAUAAAACCCAUUGUGCCCUAGUUACGUCUUAGUGCCUGCAUGUCGGUAAAUAUUAGAGUGCACGUAGUUGUCUUCGGCACGCUAUUUAAGGAAAACAUUAUUAGACGGGACCACUCAACCUUAAAGAAUCUUCUCUGGAUUACUGUGAAUUCUUCAGAGGAAACCUAUCAUACAUUAACAAGCACAAAAGGCCCAAAUGUGCGAACUCUACUUUUUGUGAAAAGUUGUGUUGUUUUGCAAAAACAAGACUGUAUUUUUUUCUGUUUGAGCAAAUGGUUAUGUCGUUCGUAAAGUCAGGGGCUAUGGAGAGGAGGACACGGCAGGAUUUAAAUAGAGUGAGAGGAAUGGUAGAGCACUCCAGAGUUCUAGGAAAGGGGAUAAACUGCUUAUUCUAUUAGAUUACAUGAAAAUGUAGUCAGAAGAAAUUAGAGGUAGAACCCGAGUGUGCCCAGAAUUAACAGGAAUUUGCAAAAGCCUUAAUAUAUAGUAAUUUCUGUUGCAGUAGAAAAACUGUCCAGUCACUGAUAUGCCAAGCUAUGUUAGCCAGGGAGAAAAGUUUACCCGUCUGCUUGAAUGUGUAUGCCAAUUACAUUUAUUCACUUUCCUGCUAGAGAAACUUUCAGAUUCGAAUUGUUUAUUUGUGAGGUUGUUAUCACGAAAAUUAAUCAUUUCCCAAACUAUUAGAGGGCCUUGGAAUGUAUUCCUCUCAUUUACUCUACCUGUCCCAUUCAAAGGAGAGAAGCUGAAGAUGUAAGACAAAAAGCAGUUGAAGAAUUCAAAGCUGUGGAUAAUCAGGACCCAGAAUAGUGCCUGGCACACUGAACCUAUGAGGUAGAUCCUGUUUUUACUCUCAUUUAUCCCCAUCUAACAUAUGAGGAUCCUGAAGCUCAGAGAAGGUUUGGCAGUGGAUUGAAUGGCAUCAAGAAACCUUGCCUGUAACUUAAAGGAGUGUAGCAUGAGCUGAACAGGAAGCCUACCUUCCACUGGACAGGUUGGUCUUUCUUUCCAUUCUCUUAGUAAGAGUUAUUUCAAAAUUUAAGGCUAGUAAUUAGUAAGACGUGUGUGUGUGUGUGUGUGUGUGUGUGUGUGUGUGUGUGUGUGUCUUGUAGGAAAAUUCAACACUUCACUUUUUUACCUGUCCCAAACAGAUGCUACACAUGGCAACUGAAAUAUUCCUACAAACUGUGCAGGACAGAGACUUCCCUGAAUUUAUCGUCACCUACCUGAAACUAGACCAUGCUUGUCUGGCCUCUUACAAUCAUAGCCUUCGUCUCACAGCCCUAACAGCAGCACACCGUGGAGUACAAACACCCCUGAAAGACAAAGGCCUCAUAAAACCCACAGAAAAGCUAUUCACUAAUACUGGGACUACUUUUAGCCAUGCUAGUAGAGAUCACGCUUUAUUUUUGUGCAUCGUAAAUACAGAAAAAUGUUGAAAACGUAGGACUCAACUAUCUAAUUAAAGCUGAGUAAACUAACCUGGUCAGAUCUUAAUUUUUAAAUGAGAAAUGACAAGAGUAGUAAAUAUAAAGAAAAACAAAAAUAACUUUACUUUCCUAUGUUAAUACAGGUCAAGGGACCCUUUCUUCUGAAAAGGGUUGUUAACACCAGUUCUCAGCAAUAAACAUAAGGCACUUGUUUAGAAUACAACAUCACUGCAUUUUUUUCCCACUUGUUUUUCUAACCCUGUUUCCCCCCACAGUAUCAUUUGGAAUUAAUAGAGUGAAUGAGGCAAAUGUGGGAUGAUCCAGUCGAUACUACUCAGAGCAAGACAGUACAGUACAAUGUUUCGGGGGUGCUGUCUGGACAUAAAAUGAACCCUGUCAAGGUCCUCUGACACCAGACAAUGUAUCCACUAUCAAGUAAACCUGAAAGAAAAUAAAAUAUUUAUUCAAUAGUUCCAGUAAAAUUGGGUCGGAGUACAAUAUACAUGUUAGGAAUUUUAGCUCCUCACGGGUGGAAUCUGCAUCAAGAGUUCUGAGUAUUUACGAAUUUUCAUUCUAAGACAGUCUACAUCAGUUGAACAUUGUCAAGACAAAUAUAUGAACUUCAUUUCAAUAUACAGUAGAGUUGAAACAGAAUUCACACAUAAACACCCCCUAUCGUAUGGCUGGUGCCUCCUCCCAACACCUCAGUAGUGGCAGAGGUAGCACUAGUGUUCUUUCCCAACAAUGAGAACUUCGGUUGCCACUCAUAGGAGAAGUUGAAAAAAAGUUUGUGGUGGUGGUGGGGUUUUUUUUGUUUGUUGUUUGCCAUCUGUGAAGAUGUUCCUGAGACAGGGCCAGUUAAUAAAACGGAACAAAGCACUGGAGUUCGGCUUGUACUUCUCUUUACAUCACUAAAUCGUUAGACCGGGACGCAGAAUGCAGGCCACGUACUAUGAAAGGUUGAGUUUAGCACAACUGUUCAAUCAGUAGAAGGAUCAGGUCUCCUGAAAAUUCCCUUUAGAAUAUAUGCCCUAGAAACUAAAAGUACCACAAAGAGAUCAAUCAUAUAUACAAUUGAUUCAUUUUACUUAAUCUUAUUUGCUCAGAUCUUGCAAACGCAACGAGGAUAUUGAGCCUGAGGCCAGUUCUCAGUAUACAGGUUUAUCAUCGUAAGGCUCAGUCUCUCCAUCAAAAUCGCAGUUCUCAGUUUCCUUUCAAAUUAGGAAAUUAGGAAUUACAUUCAUAGUACCUGCCACCAUCCUCGCCCUCAAGGAAAGGUUCAUGCAGGAGCAGCACUACACCUGCAUUACGGAGUCCCCUGACACCGGCACUCGGCCCGCAGCGAACGCAACCAUCUGCGCUCAUUUUACAGCACGUUACAUUGCCUCUGGCUUGCACCUCUGUUUCCACCUGUGUAUUUUCACAGAAGCCCAACACAGAUUAGUUGAAAUAUUCACACAACUGUUUUUCAAAACAAUUUAUUGCAUCAUAUUUGGUACCUUAUGUUUGACAACAAAAAGGAAAUUACAUCUGUAACUGCAGGAAAAAGAAGCUGGUCUGUUAUUGAAAAAAAAAAAAUCUUGGGCCCUUUAAAAAUUACAAAGUCUUGGGCUUGCCUGAAACAACUGAGCAAGAAAUAUAUUCUUAGAAAUGUAGGGCUUCAAGUAUUACAAACCUGUGACACUGUGGAAAAAUUCCAGAGGUAUCUAAACUGCAGCACUUUUUUUCUGCAUAUCGUGAACAAGGCCUGCUGAGGUUUUUAACUAUUAGUCUCUUGAUCAGUCAUAGAAUGGUAGUCAGGAGUUCUGCUCUUUAACUUCAAGCCAUGGUAGAUUUUCUUUUUUCACUCUUGGGUGAAAAAAUUCAUGCGUGCUAAUUAGUUGGUGCCACAUCACAGUGCAUUUGGUUCUUGCAUUACAGUUUUAACAAGUUUGGCCAAAACAAUGCUGAAAGGUUUGCAUUGCUAUUUUAGUUCUUCAAGUUUUAGUUAAAAUUGAGAUUGUUCCAACUGGUUCCUUCAGUUAAAAACUGUGGUACAAGAACACCAAACUGAUCAUGUACAGUGAAUUUUGGAAACACAACAAGCAUAUUGAACACCCUCUAGGUUUCUUAGAAAUUCUGCUUGGUAU